This is a long non-coding RNA of Hyaena hyaena (striped hyena), 444 nucleotides long. RefSeq lists it as uncharacterized. The transcript has 3 exons. NCBI's taxonomy places the organism in Eukaryota, Metazoa, Chordata, Mammalia, Carnivora, Hyaenidae. The record is from RefSeq and is a predicted model, not a curated record.
ACUCCGGUGGCUGCAGCCAAGGUGGCAGAGGAGUUGAAGUAAGCUCGUGAAGGCUCCCGCGCCACGCUCAGAUACUACCUGGGAGACACCAAGGACGGUUGGUAGGAGCCCCAUGAAACGGUGACCGUCUGUAAGUCACCUGUACCGUUUCACGAGGAUCCCGCCGCUUGACUGGGUAGAAAGUGGUAGUAAUUGCUAUUCCCACCAGAAGACUGCUUAUUUCUCUGCAUCAUCAUAAUUCGACAUUGUGGUUCUUUAUCUUUACCAGCCUAAUAGAUUGAUAUUCACCAUCAUUUUCCAGCCUUGUGUAGAAAGUCUUCUGUCAAAAGCAAUGAUUAAGACAACAAAAAGCAGACAAAGCCAGGUCUGUGCCUAUAAAACUGAGUUAUACUCAUCUUCAAGAAACAUAGUACAGUAUAAUGGUGAAAAGUUUAACUUUGUGAU